UUGUAACAAUUUUUUUCUCAACUAAAAUAUGCUUUUAAAAAUCCUUGUAAAUAUUUUUUGGCGGAAAAUAGAUUUACAAGGGAUUUUAAAAUGGUUUUAAAAUAUUUACAAUGGAUUUUAAAAGGGUUUUAAAAGAUUUACAAAGAUAUUAAAAGGUUUUAAAAAGAUUUACAAGAGUUUUUAAAGGGUCUUUUUGUAAAUUCUUUAAAAAUCUUUUAAAAACCCUUGUACAUCUUUUAAAACCCUUUUAAAUCCUUUAAAAAUCUCUUGUAAAUCGUUUAAAACCCUUUUGAAAUCCCUUGUAAAUCUUUCAAAACACUUUUAAAACAAUUUUAAAUCCUUUAAAAAUCUUAAAAAAAAC
Molecule: small RNA, 361 nt
Filed under: Arabidopsis thaliana (thale cress)
Lineage: Eukaryota; Viridiplantae; Streptophyta; Magnoliopsida; Brassicales; Brassicaceae
Description: ATSL151530
Source: RNAcentral